Molecule: ribosomal RNA, 254 nt
Filed under: uncultured prokaryote
Description: partial 16S ribosomal RNA
Rfam family: Bacterial small subunit ribosomal RNA
Source: RNAcentral
UACAGAGGGUGCAAGCGUUGUCCGGAAUCACUGGGCGUAAAGGGCGCGUAGGCGGCUUGGUAAGUAGGGGGUGAAAUCUCAUGGCUCAACUGUGAGGCUGCCUUCUAGACUGCCAGGCUUGAGCACAGUAGAGGCUGGUGGAAUUCCCGGUGUAGCGGUGGAAUGCGUAGAGAUCGGGAAGAACAUCUGUGGCGAAGGCGGCCAGCUGGGCUGUUGCUGACGCUGAUGCGCGACAGCGUGGGGAGCAAACAGGA